AACGUAGGAGGCGAGCGUUAUCCGGAUUUACUGGGUGUAAAGCGCGUGCAGGCGGUUAGCUAAGUUGGGUGUGAAAGCUCCCGGCUCAACUGGGAGAGGUCGCUCAAGACUGGCUGGCUCGAGGAUGGUAGGGGAAGGUGGAAUUCCGGGUGUAGUGGUGAAAUGCGUAGAUAUCCGGAGGAACACCAGUGGCGAAGGCGGCCUUCUGGACCAUCACUGACGCUCAGACGCGAAAGCUAGGGUAGCAAACGGGAUUAGAGACCCCGGUAGUCCUAGCCGUAAACGAUGUGAACUUGGCGCUGGUCGGGUAAAACUGAUCCGUGCCGCAGCAAACGCGAUAAGUUCACCACCUGGGGACUACGGCCGCAAGGUUAAA
RNAcentral lists this ribosomal RNA (376 nucleotides) under uncultured Chloroflexota bacterium. RNAcentral's name for it is "bacterial SSU rRNA". It matches the Rfam family "Bacterial small subunit ribosomal RNA", at positions 524 to 898 of the family's 1533-position model. Lineage: Bacteria; Bacillati; Chloroflexota. The record is from RNAcentral.